Trichomycterus rosablanca is the source of this 259-nucleotide long non-coding RNA. RefSeq lists it as uncharacterized. NCBI's taxonomy places the organism in Eukaryota, Metazoa, Chordata, Actinopteri, Siluriformes, Trichomycteridae. The transcript has 3 exons. The record is from RefSeq and is a predicted model, not a curated record.
UUAUGGCACUAGCCUGGCUGUGGAGCAGCCCCUGUGCUUGCUGUAGCUCAUCCUUGGCUCUGAGUUCCUGAUUAUGGAGUUCUGUCUUUACUGUGUUCCACCUACAGAUGUGAAAAAGUUGUGGUAAUUUGGCGUUGCCUCCUGAGAGGAAAGCUUGGACCGACAAUCCAGGAGCUGUUGAAGUGACACACAAAAAUAGUCUGAAAAUACAUUUAUAAUGAAAAUACAUUUAUAAUGUACCAUCCUUUAAUAUCAGUAU